Molecule: small RNA, 295 nt
Filed under: Exophiala spinifera
Lineage: Eukaryota; Fungi; Ascomycota; Eurotiomycetes; Chaetothyriales; Herpotrichiellaceae
Description: 5' ureB small RNA
Rfam family: 5' ureB small RNA
Source: Rfam by way of RNAcentral
CUUCGUACGCUUGUUGUGGGCAGAUGAGGUGGAUGUGUGAGUCGAAACCGCCGGCUGUCAAGAUGAGGCCUUCUCCAGCAAUCACGUCGGUGCCGUUGCCAACGAUGAGGUCCUUGUGUACACCGGCCAUGACGUCGGGGUUUCCGGCUUUGCCAAUGCCCUUGAUCACGCCAUGUUUAAUGCCAACGUCCGCCUUGUAGAUACCUGUCCAGUCGAUGAUGAGAGCGUUUGUAAUGACAGUGUCGAGAACCUCGUCGUCGCGCCGGUUACUGGCUUGGCCCAUACCUUCACGGAG